GUCGACGAGAGGACAUGGGAAGCUUGCUUCCUAUGAAAUCGAGUGGCAAACGGGUGAGUAACGCGUAAACAACCUGCCCUUCGGAUGGGGAUAACAGCCGGAAAUGGCUGCUAAUACCGAAUACGAUCUUUUCGUCGCAUGACGGAAAGAAGAAAGGAUGGCCUCUAUACAAAGCUAUCGCCGAAGGAGGGGUUUGCGUCUGAUUAGCUGGUUGGAGGGGUAACGGCCCAACAAGGCGAUGAUCAGUAGCCGGUCUGAGAGGAUGAACGGCCACAUUGGGACUGAGACACGGCCCAGACUCCUACGGGAGGCAGCAGUGGGGAAUCUUCCGCAAUGGACGAAAGUCUGACGGGGCAACGCCGCGUGAGUGAAGAAGGUCUUCGGAUUGUAAAGCUCUGUUAUACGGGACGAAAAAGACGGAUGCCAACAGUAUCCGUCCGUGACGGUACCGUAAGAGAAAGCCACGGCUAACUACGUGCCAGCAGCCGCGGUAAUACGUAGGUGGCAAGCGUUGUCCGGAAUUAUUGGGCGUAAAGGGCGCGCAGGCGGUUCGGUAAGUCUGUCUUAAAAGUGCGGGGCUUAACCCCGUGAGGGGACGGAAACUGUCGAACUUGAGUGUCGGAGAGGAAAGCGGAAUUCCUAGUGUAGCGG
RNAcentral lists this ribosomal RNA (651 nucleotides) under uncultured bacterium. RNAcentral's name for it is "bacterial SSU rRNA". It matches the Rfam family "Bacterial small subunit ribosomal RNA", at positions 61 to 681 of the family's 1533-position model. The record is from RNAcentral.